This 281-nucleotide long non-coding RNA is filed under the name Calidris pygmaea (Spoon-billed sandpiper). Its description in RNAcentral is "lncRNA (ENSCPGG00000006031.1)". Lineage: Eukaryota; Metazoa; Chordata; Aves; Charadriiformes; Scolopacidae. The record is from RNAcentral.
GGUAGGACCUCGCUUCUCCGUGCGGAGGGAAGGUCUGGGGGGCUGGAGCGUUUGCUGCGGAGAGAAGAGAUAAAGAGAAUUUAAGAGAAAACCUUUGUGCUGAGAUGGUGGUCCCUCUGCCCUGAACCAGUGUGCAGGUUCUGUGGAAUAAACCGGCUUCCAACCUACACCCCUCAGAAGAAUUGUUAUUCUCAGCUCUGUCCAGGCCUCUGAGCUCCUUGCUGCCAAGGACAGGUAAGUUUUACCCCGGAGCAAAAUAGUAUCUCCAGCAGUUAAAGGUG